Molecule: ribosomal RNA, 253 nt
Filed under: uncultured bacterium
Lineage: Bacteria
Description: partial 16S ribosomal RNA
Rfam family: Bacterial small subunit ribosomal RNA
Source: RNAcentral
UACGUAGGGCGCAAGCGUUGUCCGGAAUUAUUGGGCGUAAAGAGCGUGUAGGCGGCCUGGAAGGUCAGCUGUGAAAACUCGAGGCUCAACCUCGAGACGUCGGUUGAAACCACCUGGCUAGAGUCCGGAAGAGGAGAGUGGAGUUCCCGGUGUAGCGGUGAAAUGCGCAGAUAUCAGGAGGAACACCGGUGGCGAAGGCGGGACUCUGGGCCGAUACUGACGCUGAGGAGCGAAAGCGUGGGGAGCGAACAGG